CGCUUGUAAAAGAAUUGGAUCCUUUUGAAAUGGAUGCUGAAGUGCACUGUGCUGACCAACAGCGGUGAACACCGCCACUGCUCAGAGGGUGACAAAGCAAGCAGUGGUUGGAGCGUGUCUGACUUGGGCCUCCUUUUAGGGCUUGUGUUCAUUUUCUUUUAUAUCAUUUCUUAGAAAUAUAGUACCAUCCUAGUUUUGUAGCCAGGAGGGUAUUGCUUCUUCAAGCCUCUGAGGUACAAGAAUUGCUAUUAAACAGUACUGAUGAUAAAUUCCGUGCGAACCUUUCCAAAAUGAUUUAAGUACCUUUUGGAUUUGCUUCCCUAAAAAUGGCUUGUGUCUAAAUUGACUUUUCAAUUUGAGAAUCUACUGAAGAGAUGUAUAGACACCAGUUCCUCAGCCCAGUGAAAGCAUUGCUUUUUACCUAUCUCCAGCCGGAGUGUGGGGAAAAUUGGGUCAGUAUCUUAGCAAUUUGAAGGCCAGUUUUAGGGUAUUGAGAGUGACUAAAACCACCUGCCCUCUUAACCCUCUGAUGUGAGGGGCGUGCUGUCCCUCUCUCCACCCACCAAAUCUAAACAGUCGUAAAGAAGACUCUAGACAUCUAGAUACUCACAGUCCUCUGCUCUUAGAUCUUAAUUCUUUUUCAAAUAAGCUUGCCUCCCUGUUGCUGUCCUGUCCAGGAAUGUGAGAAAUAGAUCCACUCAGAUCAACCUUCUGAUGAGCUCUCAAUGUUGGCUUUGAAGAGCCUCCGUCUAGCUGAGUGUACCUUUAUUUUGUGUGGUUUUGAGCUUAGGUUUAAUGAUAAGACCUGUUGGGGAAACCCUAAAGGAAUAAAAUACACACAGAAGGAGUUGUUGAGAUUUUCUAAAAUACCAUGAUGGCCGUCUGUUGAGCCAGAAAUGAAACUUAUUUCAGUUUCCUACUUAAGACAGAAUGAACAAGCAGUCACUUCUCCUGCUUGUUACUACUAACUUGAACAUAUGCGGGAACGGUGCCACACUAAUAAUAAAUCAGGGGGAGACUCAGCCAGGGCAGUUUGAAAACAUUGUGCUUAAGACAUUGAAAGUCCAGGAGAUACCGUCAUCUGAGUAGGAAUGCUGUUUUCAGGGUCCUUCGUGAACAGACAUAUACAUACACACAGUCUCUGGACACAAGGAAGGGCUAGCUGCUCCUUGGGGGCUGUUAGCAAAACUUAAAGUCUGACAGCCAGUUGGUCUGCAAAAUAGAGUUAAGGGAGUCCAUGGAGAGCUUGGGGAUAGGAAGACAGAAAACACCAAAUAUUAGCAGAAUAUUUCAAAUGUUCAUGCCAAGUAAAAAAAUGUCAGGUCCCUGAAGAUGUCACUUGAAAGAACUACUCAAAAUAGGAUUCUAAGAAGUACUAACUUAACAGGUGUGACAAAGGGAGAUAAUGGGACACGGAAGUCUCUAGUGUUUCUGUACCUUGACUGCUGACUCUCUUCAUUCUCCAACAGCCUACUGAAGGAGCUGGAAGGAGGAACUCAGACAUCUUAGGGAUAAUUACCCAAAACUAAUAAUACAAAAAAAAAAAAUCACAAGCCAUUUUAUUCUCUGUUCCAGUUAACUUGAGGUACUUAAUGAUGAAGUAUUUGCUUGCACUAUGACCUCCUCCUCGGGUGACGUGCAACUUGGUUCCUCUCUGGUUUUGUUUCUUUUUAAUAUGCAGAAGUGAGUGUGUGAUCUUCAGUGUGUUUGCAUAAGCUAACUUAAAUUGAAUUUAAGAACAGUUUUCUGAACUAUUUCUAUUGAAAUAAAUGACUUAAAAGUGUA
This 1785-nucleotide long non-coding RNA is filed under the name Rattus norvegicus (Norway rat). RNAcentral describes it as "long non-coding RNA NONRATT008853". Lineage: Eukaryota; Metazoa; Chordata; Mammalia; Rodentia; Muridae. The record is from RNAcentral.